CUACGGGACGCAGCAGUGGGGAAUAUUGCACAAUGGAGGAAACUCUGAUGCAGCAACGCCGCGUGGAGGAUGACACUUUUCGGAGCGUAAACUCCUUUUAUAUAGGAAGAAGAUGACGGUACUAUAUGAAUAAGCGCCGGCUAACUCCGUGCCAGCAGCCGCGGUAAUACGGAGGGCGCAAGCGUUACUCGGAAUCACUGGGCGUAAAGAGCGUGUAGGCGGAUUAAAAAGUCAGAAGUGAAAUCCUAUAGCUUAACUAUAGAACUGCUUCUGAAACUCUUAAUCUAGAAUGUGGGAGAGGUAGAUGGAAUUUCUGGUGUAGGGGUAAAAUCAGUAGAGAUCAGAAGGAAUACCGAUUGCGAAGGCGAUCUACUGGAACAUUACUGACGCUGAGACGCGAAAGCGUGGGGAGCAAACAGGAUUAGAUACCCCCGUAGUC
RNAcentral lists this ribosomal RNA (439 nucleotides) under uncultured bacterium. RNAcentral describes it as "partial 16S ribosomal RNA". It matches the Rfam family "Bacterial small subunit ribosomal RNA", at positions 339 to 795 of the family's 1533-position model. The record is from RNAcentral.